CAGUAGCCGCGGUAAUACGUAGGUGGCAAGCGUUGUCCGGAAUUAUUGGGCGUAAAGGGCUCGCAGGCGGUUUCUUAAGUCUGAUGUGAAAGCCCCCGGCUCAACCGGGGAGGGUCAUUGGAAACUGGGAAACUUGAGUGCAGAAGAGGUGAGUGGAAUUCCACGUGUAGCGGUGAAAUGCGUAGAGAUGUGGAGGAACACCAGUGGCGAAGGCGACUCUCUGGUCUGUAACUGACGCUGAGGAGCGAAAGCGUGGGGAGCGAACAGGAUUAGAUACCCCAGUAGUCCCUGUCUCUUAUAA
Molecule: ribosomal RNA, 301 nt
Filed under: uncultured bacterium
Lineage: Bacteria
Description: partial 16S ribosomal RNA
Rfam family: Bacterial small subunit ribosomal RNA
Source: RNAcentral